RNAcentral lists this ribosomal RNA (440 nucleotides) under Campylobacter gracilis. RNAcentral's name for it is "bacterial SSU rRNA". It matches the Rfam family "Bacterial small subunit ribosomal RNA", at positions 29 to 483 of the family's 1533-position model. Lineage: Bacteria; Pseudomonadati; Campylobacterota; Epsilonproteobacteria; Campylobacterales; Campylobacteraceae. The record is from RNAcentral.
AGUGAACGCUGGCGGCGUGCCUAAUACAUGCAAGUCGAACGGAAUUUAAAAGAGCUUGCUCUUUUAAGUUUAGUGGCGCACGGGUGAGUAAUAUAUAGCUAAUCUGCCCCUUGCUGGAGGACAACAGUUAGAAAUGACUGCUAAUACUCCAUACUCCUUUUUACCAUAAGAUAAAUCGGGAAAGAAUUUCGGCAAGGGAUGAGACUAUAUCGUAUCAGCUAGUCGGUGGGGUAACGGCCUACCGAGGCUAUGACGCGUAACUGGUCUGAGAGGAUGAUCAGUCACAUUGGAACUGAGACACGGUCCAAACUCCUACGGGAGGCAGCAGUAGGGAAUAUUGCGCAAUGGGGGAAACCCUGACGCAGCAACGCCGCGUGGAGGAUGACACUUUUCGGAGCGUAAACUCCUUUUGUUAGGGAAGAAUAAUGACGGUACCUAAC